UGUUGGUUCUCCCGCAAUGCUAACCCGUGAAUUCGGUCAGGUCCGGAAGGAAGCAGCCGCAGCGGGUGACGCGUGUGCCGGGAUGUAGCUGGCAGGG
Non-coding RNA from Edwardsiella ictaluri 93-146, 97 nucleotides. Lineage: Bacteria; Pseudomonadati; Pseudomonadota; Gammaproteobacteria; Enterobacterales; Hafniaceae. The record is from Rfam.